ACCGGUUACUAGGUGGCGCAGUUGGCAGGAGCGCGCGAUGUCAAGCAUGACUAGAAAUCGCAGUUGCGGGUUCGAAUCCCGCCACCGGCA
Molecule: non-coding RNA, 90 nt
Organism: Rhamnusium bicolor
Lineage: Eukaryota; Metazoa; Arthropoda; Insecta; Coleoptera; Cerambycidae
Source: the annotation of a GenBank genome assembly